Molecule: ribosomal RNA, 466 nt
Filed under: uncultured Anaerolineaceae bacterium
Lineage: Bacteria; Bacillati; Chloroflexota; Anaerolineae; Anaerolineales; Anaerolineaceae
Description: bacterial SSU rRNA
Rfam family: Bacterial small subunit ribosomal RNA
Source: RNAcentral
CUACAAAGGAAUUGACGGGACCGCACAAGCAGCGGAGCGUGUGGUUCAAUUCGUUGCUACACGAAGAACCUUACCUGGGUUUGACAUAUAGGUUGUAGGGAACUGAAAGGGACCGACCCUUCGGGGAGCCUAUACAGGUGUUGCAUGGCUGUCGUCAGCUCGUGUCGUGAGAUGUUCGGUUAAGUCCGCUAACGAGCGCAACCCUCGUCGUAUGUUAUAUGUGUCAUACGAGACUGCCGGUAAAAGCCGGAGGAAGGUGAGGAUGAUGUCAAGUCAGCAUGACCUUUAUAUCCAGGGCUACACACACGCUACAAUGGUCUGUACAAUGGGUAGCCAAGCCGCGAGGCGGAGCCAAUCCUGAAAGCAGGCCUCAGUUCAGAUUGCAGUCUGCAACUCGACUGCAUGAAGCCGGAGUUGCUAGUAACCGCAGGUCAGCAAUACUGCGGUGAAUACGUUCCCGGGUCUU